CGUUCCCUGCUUUCAAUUCAAUCGGUCUUUGAAUUGUUAAACCGAAGAAGAAGGAGAAAGAAAAAUGGCGGUAGCCAACUCCAAAUAUAAUCAAAUCCGCUGAAAGAGGAGAAAAAAAAAAAAAAAAGAACAAGAAGAGAAUGGAAGAGCUUAACUUGCAAAAGCUCGUUGUUGAUAUCCGUACUAGUCCUAAGACUUCUCCAGUAAGUGAAUAUCUGUGGAUUAUGUGUUGUUUAAUUGGUAUGCAUGCAGAUAAUGGUUUACAUAUCGUACGACACCUACCUAGAUGAAGCAGGUGAAACCAUGGGUUCCUCGACCAUCAACCUAGUUGGUACCAGUAAGGAGUGUCUCAUUUGCAGGCAAGACCCACCCCUGUUAGCUAUAAGGAAGUCUCUGUGUGUGUAUGUGAAUGGGUUUCGCGCCCUUGCGUGAUAAUUUUUGUUAAUAAGUCUUAUUGUGUAUCUCUUCUAUUUGUAUUGCAGAUUAUUAGGAAUUACCAAUGAUUUCUGUGCCAUAUACUG
Molecule: long non-coding RNA, 521 nt
Filed under: Manihot esculenta (cassava)
Lineage: Eukaryota; Viridiplantae; Streptophyta; Magnoliopsida; Malpighiales; Euphorbiaceae
Description: long non-coding RNA (MESC_LNC004128)
Source: RNAcentral